AUUGAACGCUGGAGGCAUGCUUUACACAUGCAAGUCGAACGGCAGCGCGGGCUUCGGCCUGGCGGCGAGUGGCGAACGGGUGAGUAAUGCAUCGGAACGUGCCCAGUAGUGGGGGAUAGCCCGGCGAAAGCCGGAUUAAUACCGCAUACGACCUGAGGGUGAAAGCGGGGGACCGAAAGGCCUCGCGCUAUUGGAGCGGCCGAUGUCGGAUUAGCUAGUUGGUGGGGUAAAGGCUUACCAAGGCGACGAUCCGUAGCUGGUCUGAGAGGACGACCAGCCACACUGGAACUGAGACACGGCCCAGACUCCUACGGGAGGCAGCAGUGGGGAAUUUUGGACAAUGGGGGCAACCCUGAUCCAGCCAUGCCGCGUGCGGGAAGAAGGCCUUCGGGUUGUAAACCGCUUUUGUUCGGGAAGAAAUCCUCUGGGCUAAUACCCCGGGGGGAUGACGGUACCGGAAGAAUAAGCACCGGCUAACUACGUG
Molecule: ribosomal RNA, 484 nt
Filed under: uncultured bacterium
Lineage: Bacteria
Description: partial 16S ribosomal RNA
Rfam family: Bacterial small subunit ribosomal RNA
Source: RNAcentral